CGAUCACUUUCUCUCUCUUCAAUCCUUCCAUAGCUAUAUACUUUUUCAAGGUCCUCUAAUGGCAGCAACUGCACCUUCAAACACAUCCACAUACCAGAAGGCCCCGUCGAGGAGGGGCCGUGUCAAAGCUCAAAUUUUUGGGAGCUUGGCCGGAAACCUCUACACCGCCGCCUCUAAAACCGCGGAGGCGCUCGGUAAAAUCAAAUUAGCCUCCGCCUCCACCUCCGCCGCCGCCGCCGUCGACGAAAUCUCCCCAUCCGCCAGCCCACCGCCGAGCGGACCGUUACCCUGAUCGAUCAGUCAGGCUUGGAACGAUCUGAUUGGAUGGAUAUGUUUCAUGAUCAGUGAAAUUGGGCAUGCUUUUUUUGUUGCCUUUUUCAUUUGUGUGUUCUGUAUAAUAUUAUUAUUAUUAAUUAAUUAAUUAAUUAAUAGUUUGAAUAAAAGAAAAAGGCAGUGUUGAAAUACAGUAACCGUAGUUGGGUUUUCGGGUCGGGUCGGGUCAGAGCUUUUGUUUUAUUAGUGUUGGCUCUGAAAGUAAUUUGGGUUUUUUAUUUUGUGUGGAAUUUAUAAUUUGUAUGGCCUCUUCUUCCUACAUAUAUCAUCUCUCAAAGUUUUUUAGAUUGGAGAUGGUAUUUUUGUGGGUUUCUCUUUCUUGUUUGUAUCUCUUGUAUAAUAAUACUAUUUAUUAAUAAAAAUCCAGUGUUCUCUCUCUCU
RNAcentral lists this long non-coding RNA (714 nucleotides) under Erythranthe guttata (spotted monkey flower). RNAcentral describes it as "long non-coding RNA (EGUT_LNC003721)". Lineage: Eukaryota; Viridiplantae; Streptophyta; Magnoliopsida; Lamiales; Phrymaceae. The record is from RNAcentral.